UACGUAGGGGGCGAGCGUUGUCCGGAUUUAUUGGGCGUAAAGAGCGUGUAGGCGGCCACACAGGUCUGCUGUGAAAACUCGAGGCUCAACCUCGAGCUGUCGGUGGAAACCGUGUGGCUAGAGUCCGGAAGAGGAGAGUGGAAUUCCCGGUGUAGCGGUGAAAUGCGCAGAUAUCGGGAAGAACACCCGUGGCGAAGGCGGCUCUCUGGGACGGUACUGACGCUGAGACGCGAAAGCGUGGGGAGCGAACAGG
Molecule: ribosomal RNA, 253 nt
Filed under: uncultured bacterium
Lineage: Bacteria
Description: partial 16S ribosomal RNA
Rfam family: Bacterial small subunit ribosomal RNA
Source: RNAcentral